CUACGUGCCAGCAGCCGCGGUAAUACGGAAGGUCCAGGCGUUAUCCGGAUUUAUUGGGUUUAAAGGGAGCGUAGGCGGAUUGUUAAGUCAGCGGUUAAAGGGUGCGGCUCAACCAUGCAUUGCCGUUGAAACUGGCGAUCUUGAGUGCAGACAGGGAUGCCGGAAUUCGUGGUGUAGCGGUGAAAUGCUUAGAUAUCACGAAGAACUCCGAUCGCGAAGGCAGGUGUCCGGGCUGCAACUGACGCUGAGGCUCGAAAGUGUGGGUAUCAAACAGGAUUAGAUACCCUGGUAGUCCACACAGUAAACGAUGUAUACUCGCGGUUUGCGAUAGACAGUAAGCCGCCAAGCGAAAGCAUUAAGUAUACCACCUGGGGAGUACGCCGGCAACGGUGAAACUCAAAGGAAUUGACGGGGGCCCGCACAAGCGGAGGAACAUGUGGUUUAAUUCGAUGAUACGCGAGGAACCUUACCCGGGCUUGAACUAACGGUGACGAAUCUAGAGAUAG
This 506-nucleotide ribosomal RNA is filed under the name uncultured bacterium. RNAcentral describes it as "bacterial SSU rRNA". It matches the Rfam family "Bacterial small subunit ribosomal RNA", at positions 501 to 1009 of the family's 1533-position model. The record is from RNAcentral.